Microbotryomycetes sp. JL201 is the source of this 86-nucleotide non-coding RNA. The record is from the annotation of a GenBank genome assembly. NCBI's taxonomy places the organism in Eukaryota, Fungi, Basidiomycota, Microbotryomycetes.
GCCCUUGUAGUCUAGUGGUUUAUGAUUCGCGCUUUGGGUUCUUAACAAUUUGCGCGAGGUCCCCGGUUCGACUCCGGGCAAGGGCC